AGGAAUAUAGCUCAGUGGUAGAGCGCAUGCUUAGCUAGCCUGAGGCUCUGGGUUCAAUUCCCAGUACCUCUA
RNAcentral lists this transfer RNA (72 nucleotides) under Camelus bactrianus (Bactrian camel). It matches the Rfam family "tRNA". Rfam says of the family: Transfer RNA (tRNA) molecules are approximately 80 nucleotides in length. Lineage: Eukaryota; Metazoa; Chordata; Mammalia; Artiodactyla; Camelidae. The record is from Rfam by way of RNAcentral. RNAcentral also lists the same sequence under 1 other name.